Molecule: long non-coding RNA, 203 nt
Filed under: Mytilus galloprovincialis (Mediterranean mussel)
Lineage: Eukaryota; Metazoa; Mollusca; Bivalvia; Mytilida; Mytilidae
Source: RNAcentral
CGUGUGUGUUCUUGCGUUUUUAAUAUACUGUUUUCCUGCCAUGAACUUUUGUCAUUUUAGUGGUAUAUUUAGCAUUGUCAAAAAGCGUGAGGUUACUUCUAAAAAUAAAUUACUGCUAAUCACCUCAAGACAAUACAACAUUUCUGUAUGCAUAAUUUAAAAGUGUAAGGGAGUUUUUUUUUAUGUAGUUCAAACAACAUUAU